GUAUCAACGUUCGUUCUUGGCUGGCGUCGCGCCCCUCCCGGGACGCCGGUCGACGCCAAUCGAGUGCGCGUAUACCUACGUGCACGUUACCUGCGAACCUGAGAGGAGAACCCACCUCUGCCUUUCUGCCUGAAUCUCGACUGUGCGCACCUCUACGUGAUCCUGUAGAUCAACAAUUAGAUAUUAUAUGACACUUUAAUUUUCGCGCGGUUUUGUAAAUAAGAACCUCGCCGCUACAGCCAAUUAAAAAGCCCCUAGAUGAACCAUGAUGCGUCAUUCUUCAGUGGGAAAUUAUCGUGAUUGCUACGUAUCGCUCGAGUUGCUCAAUUAUACAAUUAUUGUUCAAUUAUAACUUUGAAAAAAAUUUGACUAUGAAGAAAAAAUGCAUACGUCAUUCAUAAUUUACUCAAGAAUUUAUUCAUAAUUUUUCUGCAAAUAUGGUAAAAAAUGGUUAUUAGGUGAUUAGAGGAAUGAAUUUUAAAAAAAUACAUAUUUUAAUAUGGAUGCCUUAAUCAAUGCAGAAUUGGUAAAAUUUUAUACGUUUUCUUUUUAUUGUAUUACUAAUCGCAUAUAUUGUCGUUAAAUAUAUAAUAUAAUAAUUAUAAAAUAAAAAUAGAGAUAAAUGAAUUUCUUAAUAUGAUUUGUCUUUAUUCAAGAUUUACUGUUAAAUAAUAGCUUUUAAAAAUCAUCAGUAUUUUUGAAACGAGUAUUCCAUAAGUAUAUUUAAAAAAUUUUCCUUAUUUCUCUCUUCCCAUUAAUUCAAUUUUAGUUUUAGGAAAUAUUUGAGACCGAGCGCAAUGCGGUCGAUAGAAUCAGUGUUUAUUUCGUAAAAGUUUUUAUAUUUUUUGAAGUGUUUGAAAUUCUAUUUAAAUUAUAAUAGUUUCGCGAGAUUAAAAUCAGUGUUUUUUUCGCCGAUUGUAACUUAAACGGUCGCGUUAAGGUUAUUUUACUUGUUCUUUUUUUAUUUUUAAAUUCGUUUCCGGUAUAUAUUCAAAUCAGUAUUUCAAGAAGAUAAAUCAAUCGUACUUUAUGCAAAAAGAUGUUUUCCAGACCUCAAGGCUUGUUAUUUAGUCUUCUCGAUGACUUUCCACGAUGAUAACAUUGAUGGCAGUUUUUCGCAUCUAAUGAUUUUUCAACAUGAACAUCGGAGCUACGAGUUAUCCAGCCGGUCCGCGCUUCCAGACAGACGUAUAGAUCGCGGCCCAUAAAUAACAAGGAAGGGAAGGGCCCUCGUCUUUAAUACGAUCCCCGUUUCCCGAACUCAUAACCGUUGAUCUUCCGCUGGAAAUUCACCAGGAAACGCGACAAAAGUUCACCGCGCAAGAUGCACACGAUGUAACAUUCAACAAACACCGGUAGACAAUGUUCCAAACUAUACAACAUACAUUUUGACAAGUUCCAGUUUCGCUUCGCAAGCAGCCGGAAAUUGAACACCGGCUGUGUUUCCUGUAUCCACGGCGGCGAGCCAGAUUCCGCGAUGGUAGUUUUACCGCGCUUUCAAGACAAACCCUGAGACGAUGAAACGGAUUUACACGAUAAAAUUAUCACGUGAAAAGAAAAUAAGAAGAUCGUCGAAAUUGAAAAAUCCACCACAUGCUAUAUCGAAUAUAUAUAUGUUUGUGGAACAUCUUUGGAAGGAUUCUAGAAGCCAAGGCAAGUACAAAAGUUCAUAUGUAUAUACACAAAAAUAUCGAUCGAAACUUGUUCAUUAAGUUACGAGCAAUU
Long non-coding RNA from Apis cerana (Asiatic honeybee), 1725 nucleotides. RefSeq lists it as uncharacterized. NCBI's taxonomy places the organism in Eukaryota, Metazoa, Arthropoda, Insecta, Hymenoptera, Apidae. The record is from RefSeq and is a predicted model, not a curated record.